This 212-nucleotide non-coding RNA is filed under the name Pseudomonas palmensis. RNAcentral describes it as "sucA-II RNA". It matches the Rfam family "sucA-II RNA". The record is from RNAcentral. Lineage: Bacteria; Pseudomonadati; Pseudomonadota; Gammaproteobacteria; Pseudomonadales; Pseudomonadaceae.
AAGUGCGGGCCCUUGCCCGCACCGAGGUGCAACUUGAGCAAAGGCCAAAAGCCCGAGCUUUUACCUAUGAAGAUAUGAGACCAGCAGGGGCGUCCGGGCUGGUACCCGGUAAAUCUGCGGAACUCUCGGUGGCUUGGUUCAGUCGCUGCAUACGGACUCAACUCAGCUUGCUGUGGUUCUUGCCGAUCGAGGCCCCUAACCGAGGGUGACCA